GUCAUUGCUAUGAAUCACCGCCUUUCUCCUCCAAUUACAAUAUCCACCGCCUCAUCCGAACAUUCUCCAUCUUUAUUUUUUUGGCAUGAGGUCGUCGACGAAGAUGAGCGGCGAUUAGAGGUCGUCACCGUUUGCUAUCGACAUCUUGACUUCACCCGCUCUUCGAGACCGUCCUGUUAAGUCGAAGCAAGUCACUUGGGGUAGUUCCAUGCGUCAUAUGUGCGUUUUCUCCUCUCUUGACGACUUCUGGAGGCUUCGUUUGUAUUCCAGUUGCCUUGGAGAGGGAUACAUCGAUUUCUAGGGUUUCUGCAGAUCUGAAUCAUGUUCUCCGGUGAACUAACGGAAUUGUUCCACCAUCUUCUACACCGGUACGUCUUUUCUAUCUAUACUCUAUUUUCUCAAUUUUGUGGCUGCGGUUUUUCGAUUUUCCGGUCGUCGUACCUUUUCGCAACAAUCUGAAUUCUUAAAUCAACUUGGAAUUGAAGCACGACAGUGGAAGUCGUUAUAGAGUUUUUAUUUGAUCAUUGUUGUAGAGAGGUUCUACUGUUGGAUAUGUAUACUAUAAGAAAAUUGGUUGUAUAAUGGAUUCCUCUCGGUCUUUAGAAACAACAAUUUCAAUGAAUUUUCUGUAUUUGCAGUAUUUGUUAUGAAUAUUUAUGUAGUUUGAAGCAUUUUAUAUAAUCUUCCAAAACCCUAAGGAAGCAGGAUGGGCUGAUGGUUGUCAUAUUGUUGCUUGCACUCAAUCAAGACGGUUGGCGGUGCAGAAAGAAUGGGAGUCAAACAUGGAGAGGAAGUUGGUUAUACUAUUCAAUUUAAAGAUGUCGCAAAUUCAGUGAAAGUUUAUCUAAAGCUCAAUAAAUGAUACAAUUUGUGCAAUUAUCCUUGGUCUAAACAUAAGAAAUUACAGGUUCGCCUUGCACCGACGACUGAGAAACACAACCUUCUUCAGAUGAGGCAUGUAGCUGCAUAUAUUUACAAGAAGCCUGGUAGAUAGAACCAUUCAAUUGCAUUGUCUAAGAAAGACAAGCUUUACAAGGAUGCCAUGGAGACAACCUCACAAUCCAGUAACCGUCAGUUAGCAGAAGAAUUGCUCCUUUAUUUCAUCGAUCAGGUACAAACCUAUUAGUUGCGGUGGGUUUUAUAUUGAAUAUGAUGGUAUUUGUGAGGGCCAAUUGGUGAACUCAAUGUGUUAUAAUAAUAUAAUUGAGGUUAUGCAUCAUUACAGAAAAAAAAAAGGAAUGUUUUUCUUCGUGUCUGUUUGUUAUGAUCUAAUCCGUCCAGAUUUUGCUCUUGAGUUGGCCUAGUUGAACAAUAUGAUCGACAUUACUCUCCCAUAACUGCUUCAGGUAUAUUUUUUAUGGUGGGUAAAUACCAUUUACUCUCUAAGAAUGAUGAUUGAACUUUUUAUAUAUAAAUUGUUAAAUGACACUUCUGAAGUUAUUACAGCUCAUUAUAGCUUUCUUUUAAAUGACACUUCUACAACUCAUUAUAGCUUCCUUUUAAUUUUUAGGAAAUGUAGUUAUUACAGGUUUCUUCCUUAUAUUUCUUAAUUUACAAUAAUUAAUUACAUUUUUGGUCUCUUUAGUUUUUAAUUUAAAAAAUGAAUGAAUUACACUAUUGAUACCUCUCUUUUUUGUAUUAAUUACAAUUUUGUCCCUGUAAUUUUUAGUGACACAUUGAAUGCGCUUCUGUAGUUGAAUUUUUCAGGUUGGAUUGCCCCUAGACUCAAAGAAACUGUCUGACUCCCCAGAUUACAAAUACAAAAGCUUUUUAUAUUCUUCGGUAUAUCCACAAUGUUGUCAUCUAUUAUCAUUCCAUUUGUCUUUCUUUUUUUUAGCCUCUUUUUGUGCCAUAUGAUCACAAAAAUAUGACGUUAGCCGGACUACAUUCACAGAAAAUGAGAUUCAUGCUUCAAACAUUGAACGACCUUCAUUGUGUAGGGAAAAGACUUUAGCAUCAAGCCAUUUCAACAAAAAAAAAAAAAAAGACAGUCAUUUCCAUUCCAUAUUUUUACUAUUCUCCUCAUAAUGUGGCACUGGUUCCUGUAUUCACAAUGUACGUUUUUUUACUGAAUAGAUUGUCUUAAUGAGAGUAAACGACUUCUUACCCA
This is a non-coding RNA of Lactuca sativa (garden lettuce), 2110 nucleotides long. Lineage: Eukaryota; Viridiplantae; Streptophyta; Magnoliopsida; Asterales; Asteraceae. The record is from RefSeq and is a predicted model, not a curated record.